Junco hyemalis (dark-eyed junco) is the source of this 1644-nucleotide long non-coding RNA. NCBI's taxonomy places the organism in Eukaryota, Metazoa, Chordata, Aves, Passeriformes, Passerellidae. The record is from Ensembl.
UGACUAGCUUUGUCAGUUAUGUAACCCACUUGUUCAUGCUGUUGUCAGGAUCAAAAGAUCUUACACAGCUUCUUGGCCUUCAGAAACCCUAAAGAUCUGGGCUACAUUGCAUUAACAUGAUGCAUACUAUAGAAGGAUUAGGACAUCCUCAAUAAACUCUUCUUGUGGCCAUAUAUUUGCUUUUCUCAGGUGAGCUCAAAUCUGCAAUACACAGUGAUUAAAAACAAGCUGACUCUUACAAGUCUUUCAACUUAAAGUUACAUAUUUAAUAAACAAUUCACUCAAAUCAUACCUUGUUUUACAGUAGAGAUGUGAAAGGGGAUCAGAUGUAUGAAGUGUCAGGUCAAGGCUAGUUUAAGACACACUUCAGACACCUAAAAAACACCAGUAGCACUUUGUACUCUUGUUGAGAUCUCACCAAGCUACACCAUCUCAAAGUAUUCUGCAAACAAGCGGUUGUGCCUCUGCUGUAAGAGAUAUCAGUAUUACUCCCAUUACAGAUAGGAAAAGUUAAAACAAAAGGGACAUGGAUUUGUCUCGUCGGUGGCAGAGCUGGGAUCAGAUUCACUUGUCCUGAUUUUUUGCUCUAAGCACCAGCAUUGUUUCUCAGGUGUUAUGUCAGCCAAGCCUUCACUGAUGAACAAUGGGGCAGGAAGCAGAGUAAAGCCAAAUAAGGCCAGUGUUCAUCUUGAAUUAGAUCAAUAAUAAUGGAACCUGAGUAGCUGCUUGGAAAUUACUACAGGUUGACAACUUGAUAAUAUGAGGAAGAGAAAGACCUGUAGAUUUUGGUGAGGAAAGAGGUCCUUGGGGAAAAACUCUUACAAAUUAAAACCAGACUAACAGGUGAAUUUUGGUAUCUGUUCAUCUGUUCUUUGUGGUGUAGCUGAGUUUGACAAAUGUCAUUACUUUCCUUGGUUUGCAGCUAUUUUAUUUUGUACCUGGAAAUCCCCGCUACUCACAGUGAACUGUUGCCCACUGGAUGCUCUGAACACACCGUUCAUGGCCCCUGUGACCUUCUGAGCACUGAAGAUGCAUUGAACCUUGGCCAGAAUAUGGCAAAGGCAAGGGACUUGCCUCAAGGUUCCAGGGUAUGGAAUAGAGGGGGAAGAAACCCAGGGAGAGCCCUUCUCAGGCAGAUGAAGCACUUUGAGUGCUGUUCUGGCAGAUGCUGAUGCUGUCUGGACAUGCCUUGUGGAAAUGAGCUUCUCUAUGGGAUGGAGGACUGCACGCUGCCUUUGGAGAAAAGGAGGGCCAGGAUUACUGCUCCCAGCAGUACUGAAAUAGCUAUUUACCCACAGCAGGAAAAUGUUAUUUUUGGGGCAAAAGGGAGCUGUAAUGUUUUCCUGUUACAGUAGUUGGCAGCAUUUCUCUAUAGCCCAAACAGUUCUUACUUUACUCUUUGCUGUAAGUUUACUAGAAGGAGAGACAUAUAUGACCAAUUCUGUAAUUCAAACAAUAUACUGACAGUAAGACAGGUUUAAACCCUGGGAGACUAUGGGGAUGGAGUGAAGGAAUAGCAGAGUGGGACCCUGUACCAAGAGCCUAAGCUGAGAGGAUACUGGUGGCUAUGUGCAGAGAAAUGUUGCAUGCACAGUGAUUUUCAAAGCAUAGACUAUUUGGAAUAAAGUAAGGACAUCUCUUGCA